UCUCUUGAUAUCAUACCAUGGCCAUGCUGCGCCUUAGUUGACAAUUGAUUUUUUUUUUUUUUGGACAAUUGAUCCCUUCAACAUCCUAACAAGGCAUCCAUCCAAUAGCCACUCUAGGUGUUCCAAAGUAUAGAAGAGCAUUACAACUUUUGAUAUAUGCAAAACUCUCCACCACGCCAUACCACACCCAUGCGGGCACCCUCUGCAACAAGCUUGCGGC
RNAcentral lists this long non-coding RNA (220 nucleotides) under Elaeis guineensis (African oil palm). Its description in RNAcentral is "long non-coding RNA (EGUI_LNC031018)". Lineage: Eukaryota; Viridiplantae; Streptophyta; Magnoliopsida; Arecales; Arecaceae. The record is from RNAcentral.